UUAAAUCCCUUAUCGAGGUAUCCAUUGGAGGGCAAGUCUGGUGCCAGCAGCCGCGGUAAUUCCAGCUCCAAUAGCGUAUAUUAAAGUUGUUGCAGUUAAAACGCUCGUAGUCGGAUUUCGAAGCACGCUCACGGGGGCGGUUUUUGCUGUUUCUGUGAGGGUGUCUUCUUUUUCUGGGACGCGUUGUGCGGGACUUGAUUGUCUCUGCACAUCUGCGGGCCGGACGUUUACUGUGAAGAAAUUAGGGUGUUCAAAGCAGGCSUUUGCUAUGAAUACGUGAGCAUGGAAUAAUAGAAUAGGACUUGACCUCUAUUUUGUUGGUUUCCGGAGAACAAGUAAUGAUUAAUAGGGACAGUUGGGGGCAUUCGUAUUUCAUUGUCAGAGGUGAAAUUCUUGGAUUGAUGGAAGACGAACAACUGCGAAAGCAUCUGCCAAGGAUGUUUUCAUUGAUCAAGAACGAAAGUUAGGGGAUCGAAGACGAUCAGAUACCGUCGUAGUCUUAA
RNAcentral lists this ribosomal RNA (503 nucleotides) under Porphyra umbilicalis (laver). Its description in RNAcentral is "SSU rRNA". It matches the Rfam family "Eukaryotic small subunit ribosomal RNA", at positions 527 to 1040 of the family's 1831-position model. The record is from RNAcentral. Lineage: Eukaryota; Rhodophyta; Bangiophyceae; Bangiales; Bangiaceae.